UUAUCUUUACUAUCUUUCUAAUUUCUUUAUGGUAUUAGAGCACCAUUGAAGAUCCUCCUUCUUUGAAUUUUUUUUCUUCAAUUGCUAUUACUACUGACUCCACCUCUCCUCUUGCUGGAUCCAAAGUCUUGGAUCAAAGUAGUCAUUUCUUCCUUCAUCUAUCUGAUUCACCAGGAAUGUCUUUGAUGAACUCCACCUUUGAAGAAAAAGUUAUGGAGGAUGAAGAAGAUCCAUCCUUAUCACUCUCUCAACUAAGAACAAGCUGGGUUUCACUGAUAGAAGUUGCAAAGAUCCUGCUCCCAAUAGUCCAGACCUUCAAUCAUGGAAUAGGUGUAGUGAUAUGGUAACUAAUUGGUUAUUAAAGUCACUCUCUAGGGACAUUGCUAAAAGUGUCCUCUACUUCAAAAUAGAUGAGGAACUCUGAAACGAUCUUGAGGACAGAUUAGGUCAGUCUAAUGGGGCCAAAUUAUUUCACCUACAAAAAGAGAUGAGUGAUUUUUCUCAGGAGUCACACAACAUUGCAUCUUAUUAUACCAAAAUCAAGGGGUUUGGGGAUGAGCUAGACACAUUGAACACAAAAACCACUUGUUCUUGUAAUUGUGACUGUGGUGGAAAGGUGAAAAUGGUUAAGUCACACCAAGAUGAGAGGCUCAUUCAAUUUCUUAUGGAACUAAGUUAGGCCUAUGCUGCCGUGAGAAGCAACAUCUUAAUGAUGCCUCCCUUUCCCUCUGUAUUCUUGCCUGCUCUCUUCUCAUCCAACAUGAGAAACAAAAAGAGAUAUCUGUUUAUUCUAAUCCUGCAUGAAAUCACUCAUCCUACUUAGUUGCUGAUAACAAUGGACCUCCUCAAUAACCUCAAAAUGGACAGAGGAUUCACACACCUGAAUACAGAUCCAAGAAGGUUAACACAUCCUUGACGUGUUCCCAUUGUAGGAAAGUGGAACAUACUAUUGACAGAUGCUAUAUGAUCAUUGGUUUUCCCACAGAUUUUAAGUUCACUAAAAUCGAAAGGACCGCGAGAAGCAAUGUUGUUCUUCCUUCUGAAUUGCAUUGUUACCGUAACUCUCUUCCUAAUCUUGCAGGCAAUUUUGGAAAACAGUUAACUCAUGAACAAUUUUCUCAUUUGGUCCAACUUUUGAAUUAGGCUAAGGUUACUCAACCAGAGGAUUCCCUUGCCGAUCCAAGUGCAAAAGUUGCUUGUGGCCCCUUUAGUGAGGAGGCCUCUGGUUCUUGGUGAAGCAAAUAGUGGACUCUAUCAGUUAUUUCCUUCAAGCCUCUUGUCUAAGAGUUUUUUCAACAAAGCUGAAGUUUCUUUUUCUAGUCAUAGUUUUUCUUCUUGUAAUUCCUUCUCUAGUUCAGUUCCAAGAAAUAAGAAGUUUGAUUUUCACCUAUGGAAUGUAAGGCUAGGGCAUUUGCCCAUUUCAUCAAUGAACAAGUUAUUUUCUUUUCCGAUUA
Molecule: long non-coding RNA, 1454 nt
Organism: Solanum dulcamara
Lineage: Eukaryota; Viridiplantae; Streptophyta; Magnoliopsida; Solanales; Solanaceae
Exons: 2
Source: RefSeq, a predicted model, not a curated record